UGUCAAGUCAGCAUGGCCCUUAUNUCCGGGGCUACACACGUGCUACAAUGGCCGGUACAAAGAGAAGCAAUACCGCGAGGUGGAGCAAAUCUGGUAAAACCGGUCCCAGUUCGGAUUGGAGUCUGCAAUUCGACUCCAUGAAGUUGGAAUCGCUAGUAAUCGCGGAUCAGCACGCCGCGGUGAAUACGUUCUCGGGGAUU
RNAcentral lists this ribosomal RNA (200 nucleotides) under uncultured organism. Its description in RNAcentral is "partial small subunit ribosomal RNA". It matches the Rfam family "Bacterial small subunit ribosomal RNA", at positions 1183 to 1378 of the family's 1533-position model. The record is from RNAcentral.